Molecule: ribosomal RNA, 243 nt
Filed under: uncultured bacterium
Lineage: Bacteria
Description: partial 16S ribosomal RNA
Rfam family: Bacterial small subunit ribosomal RNA
Source: RNAcentral
UACGUAGGGUGCGAGCGUUUAAUCGGAAUUACUGGGCGUAAAGGGUGCGCAGGCGGUUUUGUAAGCCAGAUGUGAAAUCCCCGGGCUUAACCUGGGAAUGGCAUUUGGGACUGCAAGGCUGGAGUGCGGCAGAGGAGACUGGAAUUCCUGGUGUAGCAGUGAAAUGCGUAGAUAUCAGGAGGAAUACCGAUGGCGAAGGCAGGUCUCUGGGCUGACACUGACGCUCAUGCACGAAAGCGUGGG